This 550-nucleotide ribosomal RNA is filed under the name uncultured bacterium. RNAcentral's name for it is "bacterial SSU rRNA". It matches the Rfam family "Bacterial small subunit ribosomal RNA", at positions 9 to 550 of the family's 1533-position model. The record is from RNAcentral.
GAGUUUGAUCCUGGCUCAGAUUGAACGCUGGCGGCAGGCCUAACACAUGCAAGUCGAGCGGUAGCACAGGGAGCUUGCUCCUGGGUGACGAGCGGCGGACGGGUGAGUAAUGUCUGGGAAACUGCCUGAUGGAGGGGGAUAACUACUGGAAACGGUAGCUAAUACCGCAUAACGUCGCAAGACCAAAGAGGGGGACCUUCGGGCCUCUUGCCAUCAGAUGUGCCCAGAUGGGAUUAGCUAGUAGGUGGGGUAAUGGCUCACCUAGGCGACGAUCCCUAGCUGGUCUGAGAGGAUGACCAGCCACACUGGAACUGAGACACGGUCCAGACUCCUACGGGAGGCAGCAGUGGGGAAUAUUGCACAAUGGGCGCAAGCCUGAUGCAGCCAUGCCGCGUGUAUGAAGAAGGCCUUCGGGUUGUAAAGUACUUUCAGCGAGGAGGAAGGCAUUGUGGUUAAUAACCACAGUGAUUGACGUUACUCGCAGAAGAAGCACCGGCUAACUCCGUGCCAGCAGCCGCGGUAAUACGGAGGGUGCAAGCGUUAAUCGGAA